UAUCUAGAAAGUGGUAAUUCAGUUCAUUAACCCACUUAUAAAAUCAAUAUAUCACGCAGGGAGCUGAACAAAACUUGGCAGCUGUGCCUAUAUCCCCUUUGCACCUGAGGGAAGCCUGACUGAAAGAAUCAGAGCCUCUUCACUCUGCCUGUGGCAGCGUGCAGCAGCCACGGACCCUCACCAGGAUCUGCAGAGCAAGCCUUGCCUCCUAAGUUAGCUCUUGGAAACUUUUGUGCAUAGGAUGUCCAGCUGCAGGAGGCUUUUUCUUUAGUGGAAGUGGAGGUUCGCAUAGAAAUAGGUUGAUCUUCCUGAGUCCCCGGUGGCACAGGUCCCAGAGCCCUGGGUUACUUAGGGUCAGUCGUCCUGGUGGUUGCAGUCAUGACGGAGUGGUAAAUCCACUAUUGAUUCUCAGAUAUUUCAUCUACUUUCUUUUGUAUUAGUAAUAAGAUUAAAAAAAAUACAUCGCAGGAGAACAUGUGUUUCACAAAUGCCGUCAUUGUUUUCUGAAACAGAAAGGCUGGUCGAAAAGCGGAGCUGGAAAAGCACGACCCCCCAUUUUGUGCGUGGUAGGCUCCUCUUGACAUUAUGCACUGACGUGAAAGGAUAUGGCUUUCCUGCUGACUUCAGCGAGAGGGAGCAUGGACAUUUGGAAAAGAAAUACAGGCUUAGCAGCAGUGGAGUAAGCAUCUACAUGAAGGUCUACUAUUGCAAUGGAAAACAGAUUACUAAAUGUAGCAACUGGCAGGUUGUUUGUGACAGAGAUUCAGCAAUGCCCUGUGCUGAACAUGAUUCACGUAAUGCACAGACAGUGGAUACUGUGUUUGAAAGGGGCCUAAUCAACAAUCUUAGGAAUAAAGAAGGAUUUUAACUCAAAAAUGUUGAUGCGUGAAGAAACAUAAUUCUCUGUGUGCUCAGUUACUGUUUAGGGGACAUGUGUACUAUAGCAACCACAUUGAAUCAGUCCAGUGCCAUUCAAAAGCAAAUUAAGUUGUAAAAUCCCACUGUACAUUUAUGAGUGUGUGUAAAUAUAUGUAUGGAAAUUAUUUAUAUAUUUGCUACUUUGCAUAUAUUUUUCCUCUUCCAGUAUACUCAGCUCAUCCCUGGAAUCACUCUACCUCGGGUAACAGUGAGGUAUCAAGGAGGUAUUUUGCUCUUUCUAUGAAAUUUUUGAGAAGAAACUUCCCGUAACAUCUGACAAGACCACGCACCACCCCCAGAAGAGCUGUUCUCAUCCAGAUAGUGGACUCAUGAGCACGAAGGAACCUCUGCUCCUCUGGCUCAGGCCACAGCACAAAUCCACUCUGCAGAGGGUGCAAUAGUGGAUACCACUGCUCAAGGCAGCAUAAGGAAACGCUAAAGAAAUGCAACUUCUUUAACAUUUCCUGGCCCCUGGAAGUGAGGAUUGGGCUUUCAGGGGUCAUUCUAAAGGAGGGUGGUGGGAGAUGCCUUUUGAUGCCCAAGGGAUCGCAUGUCUUGUAAAAAGGGUGGAGGGCAGUAGGAAGACAGGAAUGGUGCCAGAGUGUCAGAGGCUUGUCUCAUCGAUGGCUGAUUGAGCAAGGAGUCUUUGUAAACCUCUCCUAGGCACUUUGUACUCGAAGAUGAGGGAUACACAGUCACUGAAGAAGGAGGCUGAUCAAACUACUCUUACCAUGAAGAAGAUACUGUGGAUCUGUAACCCAGCAGUGCUGAUUAUUGCUUGUAGCCUCUUUGUUUUGUAAAUGAACACAAAAAAUGUAGUGUCCUCUUGAGAUUUAGGGUGCAGCUCCAUGUUAAGGAUCCUUCAUUAGCGGAUCCAAAAUACCCUCUCUAUACCCUGUCCCUGCUCCCAUGCAAGGGGGCUGCGUCUGCUGCCAUGCCUAUUCCUAGUGUGACCAAGAGUGGUGAAAAUAGGUAAAUUAUAGCAAGAAGUGCAUAAAAAAAUAGAUAGAUAAUAGGAAAAAAGUGCUUCUUUAGGACCAGGCCAUUCUACGUCUCUGUGUUAACUGAGCUGGUGCAAAGGAGAGGGAUAACUGAACUUCCUAGGGGAUGGGAGGUGGCAGGGAUGAGUGUGGAUGGUGGGGGCAGGGGCAGAAACUUUUAACAAAUGCUGCUGCCAAAGGACCGAAAACAUCAUAAUCCACUCUUAAUUUAUUGGGAUGGAUUUCGUCUAACUCUACUAAAAAACAGGUGUGCAUAUGGACACUGGGCAUGUCUGGAGAGCGAGAGCCCUAUCCCAUGUAAUAAAUCAGCUUCUUGCUGCUGAGAUGCUCUUUCU
RNAcentral lists this long non-coding RNA (2254 nucleotides) under Anser brachyrhynchus (Pink-footed goose). RNAcentral's name for it is "lncRNA (ENSABRG00000004755.1)". The record is from RNAcentral. Lineage: Eukaryota; Metazoa; Chordata; Aves; Anseriformes; Anatidae.